This 254-nucleotide ribosomal RNA is filed under the name uncultured bacterium. RNAcentral describes it as "partial 16S ribosomal RNA". It matches the Rfam family "Bacterial small subunit ribosomal RNA", at positions 524 to 776 of the family's 1533-position model. The record is from RNAcentral.
UACAGAGGGGGCAAGCGUUUGUUCGGAAUUACUGGGCGUAAAGGGCGCGUAGGCGGCCUUCUAAGUCGAACGUGAAAUCCCCGGGCUCAACCCGGGAACUGCGUCCGAUACUGGAAGGCUUGAAUCCGGGAGAGGGAUGUGGAAUUCCAGGUGUAGCGGUGAAAUGCGUAGAUAUCUGGAGGAACACCGGUGGCGAAGGCGACAUCCUGGACCGGUAUUGACGCUGAGGCGCGAAAGCCAGGGGAGCAAACAGG